RNAcentral lists this non-coding RNA (25 nucleotides) under Rattus norvegicus (Norway rat). Lineage: Eukaryota; Metazoa; Chordata; Mammalia; Rodentia; Muridae. The record is from RNAcentral.
UGGUAAAUGUAGUCUUAAAUCUAGC